Molecule: long non-coding RNA, 1359 nt
Filed under: Gallus gallus (chicken)
Lineage: Eukaryota; Metazoa; Chordata; Aves; Galliformes; Phasianidae
Description: lncRNA (ENSGALG00010026546.1)
Source: RNAcentral
AUCCAUGCUGUGCCCGUGUCAUGGCUGUGCCCUGUCCCUGUGCCACCUCUGUGCCAUGUCCCUGUCCUGUGUCUGUGCCACGUUCAUGCGCCAUGUUUGUGUCAUGUCUGUGCCACAGCUCCGUGCCAUGUCCCCGUGCUGUGUCCUUGGGCCAUGCUGGUGCUGUGCCUGUGCUGUCCCUGUGCCAUGUCCCAGUGCCACAUCUGUGCCAUGUCUGUGUCACGUCCUUGUGCCAUGUCCCUGUGCUGUGUAUGUGCUACAUCCAUGCUGUGUCCCCGUGCUAUGUCUGUGCUGUGUCCCCACGCCAUGUUUGUCCCUGUGCUGUGUCCCUGUGCCACAUUCACGCCACGUCCCUGUGCCAUGUCUAUGCUGUGUCCCCGUGCCAUGUCUGUGCCAUGUUCACACUGUGUCCCUGUGCCAUGUCUGUGCCACGUCCCUGUGCUGUGUUUGUGCCACGCUCAUGUGUCCCUGUGCCGUGUCUGUGUCACCUCCAUGCUGUAUCCCUGUCCUUUGUGCCGUGUGUGUGCCAUGUCCGUGUGCCAUGUCCGUGUGCCGUGUGUGUGCCAUGUGUGUCCUAUGUGUGUGCCAUGUGUGAACCAUGUGUGUGCCGUGUCCCUGUGCUGUGUGUGUGCCAUGUGUAUGCCACGUGUGUCCUAUGUGUGUGCCGUGUGUGUGCCAUGUUUGUGCUGUGUCCCUGUGCCGUGUGUGUGCCGUGUGUGUGCCAUGUUUGUGCCAUGCUUGUGCCAUGUCCCUGUACCGUGUGUGUGCUGUGUGUGUGCCAUGUGUGUCCUAUGUGUGUGCUGUGUGUGUGCCAUGUUUGUGCUGUGUCCCCGUGCCAUAUGUGUGCCAGGUCCCUGUACCGUGUGUGUGCCAUGUUUGUGCCGUGUUUGUGCCAUGUGUGUGCCGUGUCCCUGUGUUCUGUGUGUGCCAUGUGUGUGCCAUGUCCCUGUGCCACAUCUCCAUCCCCUCCCUGCACCACGGCCGCAGUGUCCCCGUGCCCUAUCCCACUGUCCCAUCGCCAGCUGCGUGCCCUGUGCCACAUCUGCGUGUGUCCCCCCACACCCCUCCCCAUUCCCCCUUCGGUGCACCGCAGUGGGGGCUCUGGGACACACCGGCGGGGCACUGACACCGGGAGCGCUGCAGAGCCGGGGGUGGGGGCUGUGUGGUCCUCGGUGCUGUGGGUCGGUCACGGCCGAGGGAGGGAGGAGUCGGGGCCCCCCCGGAGGCCAUAAAAGCAGGGAGGGCACAGCAGCCGGCGCGUCCCCUGUGCUGUCACCCCACUGCCUGGCACCGUGAGUAUGGGGACAGAUGGGGGGGCUGCUGGGGGCGGAGGGGUCCCCCUGGGGAUGGGGAUGGGGG